Molecule: ribosomal RNA, 600 nt
Filed under: Rubrivivax sp. Fon01
Lineage: Bacteria; Pseudomonadati; Pseudomonadota; Betaproteobacteria; Burkholderiales; Sphaerotilaceae
Description: bacterial SSU rRNA
Rfam family: Bacterial small subunit ribosomal RNA
Source: RNAcentral
AGCUCGAACGGUACGGGCCUUCGGGUGCCGACGAGUGGCGAACGGGUGAGUAAUGCAUCGGAACGUGCCCAGUGGUGGGGGAUAGCCCGGCGAAAGCCGGAUUAAUACCGCAUACGACCUACGGGUGAAAGCGGGGGACCGUAAGGCCUCGCGCCAUUGGAGCGGCCGAUGUCAGAUUAGGUAGUUGGUGGGGUAAAGGCCUACCAAGCCGACGAUCUGUAGCUGGUCUGAGAGGACGACCAGCCACACUGGGACUGAGACACGGCCCAGACUCCUACGGGAGGCAGCAGUGGGGAAUUUUGGACAAUGGGCGCAAGCCUGAUCCAGCCAUGCCGCGUGCGGGAAGAAGGCCUUCGGGUUGUAAACCGCUUUUGUCAGGGAAGAAAUCUUCUGAGUUAAUACCUCGGGAGGAUGACGGUACCUGAAGAAUAAGCACCGGCUAACUACGUGCCAGCAGCCGCGGUAAUACGUAGGGUGCAAGCGUUAAUCGGAAUUACUGGGCGUAAAGCGUGCGCAGGCGGUUGUGCAAGACAGAUGUGAAAUCCCCGGGCUCAACCUGGGAACUGCAUUUGUGACUGCACGGCUGGAGUGCGGCAGAGG